Molecule: ribosomal RNA, 272 nt
Filed under: Meara stichopi
Lineage: Eukaryota; Metazoa; Xenacoelomorpha; Nemertodermatida; Nemertodermatidae
Description: partial 28S ribosomal RNA
Rfam family: Eukaryotic large subunit ribosomal RNA
Source: RNAcentral
CGCGAGUCGGAGAUGAUUGAAACUCAAGAGGCGCAGCGAAAGCGAAGGGAUGUCUAGGCAGCCCUUGGCGGGAUCCCGCGAUUCGUCGUGGGCGCACCGUCGUCCUCCCGUCAGGGGGAGCGAGAGCGAUCGCGUUGGUACCCGAAAGAUGGUGAACUAUGCCUGGACAGGACGAAGCCAGAGGAAACUCUGGUGGAGGUCCGCAGCGAUUCUGACGUGCAAAUCGAUCGUCCGAGCUGGGUAUAGGGGCGAAAAACUAAUCGAACCAUCUA